GACAGAGGGGGCAAGCGUUGCUCGGAAUUACUGGGCGUAAAGGGCGCGUAGGCGGGAUGGCAAGUCGGUCGUGAAAUCCCUCGGCUCAACCGAGGAACGUCGAUCGAUACUGCUGUUCUUGAGGAUUGCAGAGGAGACUGGAAUUCCCGGUGUAGCGGUGAAAUGUGUAGAGAUCGGGGAGGAACACCGGUGGCGAAGGCGGGUCUCUGGGCAAUUCCUGACGGCUGAGGCGCGAAAGCGUGGGGAGCAAACGGG
This 255-nucleotide ribosomal RNA is filed under the name uncultured bacterium. Its description in RNAcentral is "partial 16S ribosomal RNA". It matches the Rfam family "Bacterial small subunit ribosomal RNA", at positions 524 to 776 of the family's 1533-position model. The record is from RNAcentral.